GGCGGCGUGCCUAAUACAUGCAAGUAGAACGCUGAAGGAGGAGCUUGCUUCUCUGGAUGAGUUGCGAACGGGUGAGUAACGCGUAGGUAACCUGCCUGGUAGCGGGGGAUAACUAUUGGAAACGAUAGCUAAUACCGCAUAACAGUAGAUGUUGCAUGACAUUUGCUUAAAAGGUGCAAUUGCAUCACUACCAGAUGGACCUGCGUUGUAUUAGCUAGUUGGUGGGGUAACGGCUCACCAAGGCGACGAUACAUAGCCGACCUGAGAGGGUGAUCGGCCACACUGGGACUGAGACACGGCCCAGACUCCUACGGGAGGCAGCAGUAGGGAAUCUUCGGCAAUGGACGGAAGUCUGACCGAGCAACGCCGCGUGAGUGAAGAAGGUUUUCGGAUCGUAAAGCUCUGUUGUAAGAGAAGAAACGAGUGUGAGAGUGGAAAAGUUUCA
This 445-nucleotide ribosomal RNA is filed under the name Streptococcus mitis. RNAcentral's name for it is "bacterial SSU rRNA". It matches the Rfam family "Bacterial small subunit ribosomal RNA", at positions 38 to 470 of the family's 1533-position model. Lineage: Bacteria; Bacillati; Bacillota; Bacilli; Lactobacillales; Streptococcaceae. The record is from RNAcentral.